This 237-nucleotide ribosomal RNA is filed under the name uncultured bacterium. Its description in RNAcentral is "partial 16S ribosomal RNA". It matches the Rfam family "Bacterial small subunit ribosomal RNA", at positions 15 to 235 of the family's 1533-position model. The record is from RNAcentral.
GAUCAUGGCUCAGGAUGAACGCUGGCGGCGUGCUUAACACAUGCAAGUCGAGCGAAGCACUUAGGAAAGAUUCUUCGGAUGAUUUCCUAUUUGACUGAGCGGCGGACGGGUGAGUACGCGUGGGUAACCUGCUUCAUACAGGGGGAUAACAGUUAGAAAUGACUGCUAAUACCGCAUAAGACCACAGCACCGCAUGGUGCAGGGGUAAAAACUCCGGUGGUAUGAGAUGGACCCGCG